Molecule: long non-coding RNA, 568 nt
Organism: Arabidopsis lyrata subsp. lyrata
Lineage: Eukaryota; Viridiplantae; Streptophyta; Magnoliopsida; Brassicales; Brassicaceae
Exons: 2
Source: RefSeq, a predicted model, not a curated record
CUCUCUCCUCCUCUUUCUCUCUUUCGCGUGUUCUUUCUUUUUCGACCUCUCUCUUUUCUCGUCUCACCCAUGGCAAAUUCAACCAAAAUCAACAUAAGUUAGCUGAUUCGAUUAAGAAGAUCUCUCAGAUCGUGUUUUGCUUUCAUCGAAUCGAACAGAGAGAAGAAGUUCUUAGAGAAAGCCGAGAUUAUUAGGGUUUGGAGAGAAUUUAACAAUCAGUAUUUUGAGAUACUUUGUCUCUAAUCAAAGCUCAUAAUCUUAAAAUUGGUGCUAAUUUUAUCCCGCCGAGAUCAUUCUGUUCUCGGAGAUUCUACUUUAGCAACGAGGAGAUGACAAUAAAACUGAAGACUUGGUGAAUCUUUUGUCCGAACCAAAACUUCAACUAGAAGAUGGCAAGCAUCACAUAGCAAGUAGAGAUGGCAAAUCUUUUGUUUGAACUAAAACUUUGUAAACACUUUAAGUUUGUUUUUCUGUCCAACACAAAUGUAAACACUUUUGUCCAAAACCACAACUCUGUUUCAUUCAAAAUUUGGUUUAACCAAAACUUGAUAAAGAAGAAAGAAGAAGA